UGGGGAAUAUUGCACAAUGGGCGCAAGCCUGAUGCAGCCAUGCCGCGUGUAUGAAGAAGGCCUUCGGGUUGUAAAGUACUUUCAGCGGGGAGGAAGGGAGUAAAGUUAAUACCUUUGCUCAUUGACGUUACCGACAGAAGAAGCACCGGCUAACUCCGUGCCAGCAGCCGCGGUAAUACGGAGGGUGCAAGCGUUAAUCGGAAUUACUGGGCGUAAAGCGCACGCAGGCGGUUGAUUGAGUCAGAUGUGAAAUCCCCGGGCUUAACCCGGGAAUUGCAUCUGAUACUGGUCAGCUAGAGUCUUGUAGAGGGGGGUAGAAUUCCAUGUGUAGCGGUGAAAUGCGUAGAGAUCUGGAGGAAUACCGGUGGCGAAGGCGGCCCCCUGGACAAAGACUGACGCUCAGGUGCGAAAGCGUGGGGAGCAAACAGG
RNAcentral lists this ribosomal RNA (429 nucleotides) under Chloroflexota bacterium. RNAcentral's name for it is "Chloroflexi bacterium partial 16S ribosomal RNA". It matches the Rfam family "Bacterial small subunit ribosomal RNA", at positions 355 to 776 of the family's 1533-position model. Lineage: Bacteria; Bacillati; Chloroflexota. The record is from RNAcentral.